AACUCGAGCCAUUAGUUUCUCGAAGUUUGACCGAAAGAGAUAUCCUUGUUGAGGGAUAGGACAUCCAUUGAUGUUUAGGAGAAAUGAUGCUGGACUACUGCCAGAUUUAGCUUCUUUUGAUUCUCUGAGAGUUAUGGGUGCUGUUCCUGUUGCUGCAACUAACCUAUUCAAGCUUUUGUCUUCCAAGUCUCUUAUCUUAUUAUAUCCUGGAGGGAUGCGCGAGGCUCUUCACAGGAAGGUAAAUUCCAAUAUGUAGUUUUCUUUUUUUGGCAACAAGUUAUUGCCAUCUUUCAUAUUGAAACAAUUGCUCGUUUUACUCCCUCUGUUCUGGCUUCUAUACCAUCUUGGACAUGAAAGAGCAUAUGAAAAUGUGAAUUGAAUGAGUUGUCACUAACUCAGUAUACUGAGAAACAUUUAUUUGAGUUUAUUUAAUAGUGUAAGAAUUGAAGUGUUUGAAUGUAUUGUAUUAUAAAAUGUACAGGGAAUCAGCCUCUUUAUAGAGAAAUUACAGAAAUAGAAAUAACUAGAAAAUAGGAAAGAAGGAAAAAAUACUAGCCUAAAAUAAAGGAAAGAUUUCUAAUCAUAAAAUCCCUAAAAUUAAGCUAAACCCAAAAAGGAAAAGAUUUAUAAUUAAUUCUAUUUACAUAAGAUUCAUAAAAGGAAUUAGGAAUCUGAUUUUGAUUUGAUUUAGUCAACAGUAAGGGUUUUACAUUGUUAUAUAUGUUGGGUAUCACAUGCUGCUCGGAAUUGAACUCGAGCCAUUAGUUUCUCGAAGUUUGACCGAAAGAGAUAUCCUUGUUGAGGGAUAGGACAUCCAUUGAUGUUUAGGAGAAAUGAUGCUGGACUACUGCCAGAUUUAGCUUCUUUUGAUUCCUUCAGAGUUAUGGGCUUCACAUAUUCCAUGAGCCACUGCUCUAAACUCAGCUUCUGCACUACUUCGUGCCACAACACUCUGUUUUUUACUCCUCCAACUAACCAAGUUUCCGCCAACAAAAGUACAAUACUCAGAUGUUGACCUUCUAUCCAUGAUAUUCCCAGCCCAAUCUGCAUCUGUAUAAGCUUCUACUUGAAGAUGUUCAUGCUUUUUAUAGAGUAAUCCUUUCCCAGGCGACCCUUUCAAGUACCUUAGGAUUCUAAAGACAACAUCCAUGUGUUCUUGACCAGGUGAAUGCAUAAACUGGCUUACCAUGCUCACAGCAAAGGCUAUAUCCGGACGUGUAUGGGAUAAAUAGAUUAGCCUCCCUACCAACCGCUGAUAUCUCCCUUUGUCCAUUACAUUUUCUGGUUCAGCUGGCUUCAAUUUUAAGUAAGACUCUAUAGGUGUUUCAGCAGCUUUACAAGCAAGUAAUCUCGUCUCUUUUAAAUGAUCUAGGAUGUACUUUUGUUAGCAUUCUUUAUAUCCAAUUGGUGUAAAGGCCAAUUGUAAUUCGCAGCAAGAGAUAAGAGAAUCCGCACAGAACUGAGUUUGGCAAUUGGAGCAAAAGUCUCUCGAUAGUCUACUCCAUAGGUUUGUGUAUAUCCCCUAGCUACUAACCUAGCCUUAUACCUCUCUAUGCUUCCAUCAGCAUUGCAUUUGAUGGUAAAAACCCACCUGCAGCCAACCAAUUUUGUAUUCUGUGGCAGAUCUACAAUCUCCCAAAUUUCAUUUUUCUUGAGUGCAUGCCACUCUUCCAUCACUGCUAAUUUCCAGUUGGGAUCAUCUAGUGCUUCCUCUAUGUUCCUAGGCUCAAAUAGAUUUGUAAUUUUAGAAGUAAAAGCUCGAUGUUUUUGAGAGAGAUUUUGGUAAGAGACAUAAUUGGAAAUAGGAUGGUUGGUGCUGGUUUUAAGUACCUUUUUGGUGCAGGUUCUGGUUUCUUUCUUAAGGGCUAUUGGCAAAUUAUUAUUAGAAGUGACAAUUUCAGAUUUACCUGGAAGUUCCUGAAGUACUACAGUUGAGCCGUCUUCCUCAGAUUGGGUUGGUACAGAGAUGAUGGGCUCCUCCGAAAUAUCCUCAAAGUGAUUAAGCCCAUCCAUCAUCUUAGCACUGCCAAUCAUCUUCCCCGAAGUCCGGUCCUGAAAAAUACCAUGAGUGUCAAAGAAUGUCACAGCACAAUUGGAAUCCUUGCAGAUUUUACUAAUAGAGAAAAGAUUACAAGAAAGCUUUGGUACAUGUAGGACAUUUCUUAGGUCAAUGUUUUCGGACAGUUUAAUUGUACCUUUUCCAGCAAUAGAUGAAAAACUACCAUCAGCAACUCUAAUUUUUUCAUUUUCAAAGCAAGGAGAAUAAGUUUUAAAUAAAGGGGAGAGGCUGGUCAUAUGGUCAGAUGCACCUGAAUCGACAAUCCAUGGUGCAUUCAAGUUUGAGGUGCAGUUAAGGGACAUAGGAAUACUAAAAUUACCUGUUUGAGCCAAAGAACCACUAGGAGUACUAGACACAGAACUGGAAUUUAACAGCCUUAUGAGCUGCUCAACCUGUUCCUUACUCAAUGAUGAUUUUUCAGCCUCAUGAGCAGUUGGGGUAGAGCGUAUUUUGAGACCAGGUUUGCUGCCAUUAAGGUGUGCUGGUUUUCCAUGAAUCUUCCAGCAGGUUUCUCGGGUGUGACGAGGUUUAUUGCAGUGGUCACACCAAAGAUUGGAGGGGUGCUUCUAAUUUGAUGAACUUUUAAGUGCAGCAGGUGCCACUAAAAGUGCAUUAGACUCCAAAGAGGUCUGUUCAGUCUUGCCUUUUCCCAUCAUCAUAGCUCUACGAGUUUCCUCUCUUCUAACUUCAGCAAAUACUUCUCCAAUUGAGGGUAGGAUUGCUCUUCCAAUAAUUCUGCCACGAACUUCAUCUAGCUCCACGUUGAGGCUUGCAAGAAACUGGAAUAUCCUCCCUUCUUCCACUGUUUGUUGGUGGUGUUUGGCAUCAGCGGCUGAAUUCCACUUGUAGUUAUUAAAGUGGUCAAGAUCCUGCCACACCCGCUUCAAUGUGUGGAAAUAUUUGGUGACAUUGUCACCCCCUUGUUGAAUUUCUCUAGCUUUUAGAGUAAGUUCAUAAAUCUGGGAUUUAUUCCCAAGAUCAGAGUACAUCUCCUUGACACUAUCCCACAAUUCUUUGGCUGUGGUAUAGUACAUGUAGUUACUGCUGAUAUCCUCCUCCAUUGAGUUCACCAGCCAUGUCAUCACCAUGGAAUUUUCGGUAUCCCACACAUGAUAUUGUGAGUCAGUGAUGUUAGGCUGGCUUCGCUCACCGGUGAGAUAUCCAAUCUUCCCUCUUCCACGGAUAUACAUCUGAACUGAUUGAGACCACCUAAGGUAGUUUGACCCAUUGAGUCGAAAUGUGGUGAUCUGAACUGAAUGGGAGUCACCACUAACUAGUAUCCGUUGCUCAGAUUUUAAAUCUGAUGGAGUAGGAGUGGUGUUCUCCUUCUGUUCAGGAUUAAUGACUGAGGAACUGUCAGCCAUAGCUAUAAAUCAGAGGCACAGUGCAGAGAUCCUGCUCUGAUACCAAAUUGAAGUGUUUGAAUGUAUUGUAUUAUAAAAUGUACAGGGAAUCAGCCUCUUUAUAGAGGAAUUACAGAAAUAGAAAUAACUAGAAAAUAGGAAAGAAGGAAAAAAUACUAGCCUAAAAUAAAGGAAAGAUUUCUAAUCAUAAAAUCCCUAAAAUUAAGCUAAACCCAAAAAGGAAAAGAUUUAUAAUUAAUUCUAUUUACAUAAGAUUCAUAAAAGGAAUUAGGAAUCUGAUUUUGAUUUGAUUUAGUCAACAGUAAGGGUUUUACAUUGUUAUAUAUGUUGGGUAUCACAUGCUGCUCGGAAUUGAACUCGGUCCAUUAGUUUCUCGAAUUUUGACCGAAAGAGAUAUCCUUGUUCGAGGGAUAGCUCAUCCAUUGAUGUUUAGGAGAAAUGAUGCUGGACUACUGCCAGAUUUAGCUUCUUUUGAUUCCUUCAGAGUUAUGGGUGCUGUUCCUGUUGCUGCAACUAACCUAUUCAAGCUUUUGUCUUCCAAGUCUCAUAUCUUAUUAUAUCCUGGAG
Molecule: long non-coding RNA, 3990 nt
Filed under: Arachis ipaensis
Lineage: Eukaryota; Viridiplantae; Streptophyta; Magnoliopsida; Fabales; Fabaceae
Description: long non-coding RNA (AIPA_LNC001552)
Source: RNAcentral